UGCAACGAGAAGCACCCUACGUGGCUUCGACAUAGUAAGAACUUUACAGAGAUGGAUUGGCGCUUUCGGGAACUUACAUACAGGUGCUGCAUGGCUGUUGUCAGCUCGUGUCGUGAGAUGUUGGGUUAAGUCCCGCAACGAGCGCAACCCUUUUCCUUAUUUGCCAGCGAGUAAUGUCGGGAACUUUAAGGAUACUGCCAGUGACAAACUGGAGGAAGGCGGGGACGACGUCAAGUCAUCAUGGCCCUUACGGCCAGGGCUACACACGUGCUACAAUGGUCGGUACAAAGGGUUGCUACCUAGCGAUAGGAUGCUAAUCUCAAAAAGCCGAUCGUAGUCCGGAUUGGAGUCUGCAACUCGACUCCAUGAAGUCGGAAUCGCUAGUAAUCGCGGAUCAGAAUGCCGCGGUGAAUACGUUCCCGGGCCUUGUACACACCGCCCGUCACACCCAUGGGAGUUUGUUGCACCCAGAAGUAGCUAGCCCUAAAAU
RNAcentral lists this ribosomal RNA (490 nucleotides) under Acinetobacter pittii. RNAcentral describes it as "bacterial SSU rRNA". It matches the Rfam family "Bacterial small subunit ribosomal RNA", at positions 955 to 1442 of the family's 1533-position model. Lineage: Bacteria; Pseudomonadati; Pseudomonadota; Gammaproteobacteria; Moraxellales; Moraxellaceae. The record is from RNAcentral.